Molecule: long non-coding RNA, 1108 nt
Organism: Heterocephalus glaber (naked mole-rat)
Lineage: Eukaryota; Metazoa; Chordata; Mammalia; Rodentia; Bathyergidae
Source: Ensembl
GUGCUCCACUAUGAAAGGAAGGGGCCACGGGCUCUUCUCAUCAGAGGGGGCGGUUUGGCUUAUGACUCUAGCAUUGCGACCUCAUUUCCUUGGCGACAGGUCCAAACAGAACUCGGAACCCUGGAGUCACUGGGCACCACAGUCCAGCGACGGCUGCCUAACAGUCACUUGGCUGGAGAGAGUCAGCAGCGAUCACGCUGUGCUGCUUUCCCAGGCCUCGAGGCCGCAGCAAUAGGACCCUGCGCAGGGAAAGCACUUGGGCACAAGUGAGAGGAUGGAUGGCUAAGUCCCCGUGCUUCAGGCCACUCACCAAGAGCUACCUGGCCUUCAGGGGCAGCACAGGGCGGAUCUCACCAGACCCAGAGACCUGGGGACUUGAGAUGAGCGGGAGCCCAGGGCAGAUCUCCUGGACACUGGACCCCAGACACUUGGGGCCACCGAGUCCAGGACAGGUCCAGUUAGGCCCGGCCACCACUAUUGGGGCCCAACAGGAGGAGAGCCGGGCAGAGGACUUCAUGGUGAGGACGGCACUGGCAGGCAUGCAGCGCCCCCUGAGGGAGCCCCCGGAAUGGGACUUCCUGGACAGCCGCCCCAUCCACAUGGACUCCCUCCUGGACCCCUCUGGGGCCUGCAUUCCCGCCCUGCAGGAGGGGAUGGUGCGAAGGUCCUCCUUCUUUGUCCUCUACUUCUUGGUGGAGUUGCACUCCCAGGAGAAUCCACCAGCUGAACUCCUGGCCCAGCUGGAGCAAGCUGAGCCCACUGAGGCACAGCCCACGGGACCAGCUCCAACCCCAGCUGAAGUCCCACGUGCGGAGCCCGAGCCAGCUCCACCUGCAGCUUCCUGCCCAGCGCUGGGACCACAGCCAGAGUCCAUGGCAGCCCCUUCACCUGCUGCAGUGCUGGGGGAGCCGGUGGUUGCACGGUGGUCGGUGUCACCUCCUGAGCUCUGCCUGGGGCCAGCUCCUGGCCCCCUCCCACUGUUCCCCUUACUUACGCUGGCUCUUGUUUUGGUAUUUACACUUGCCCUUAUUUCUUGGAUUUAUAUAAAUAAUAGAACUAGCUUUUAAUAAAACUUAAACUUUUAGUGUUUAAAAGGGUCAGCGUGGUG